RNAcentral lists this unclassified non-coding RNA (324 nucleotides) under uncultured fungus. RNAcentral's name for it is "partial contains small subunit ribosomal RNA, internal transcribed spacer 1, and 5.8S ribosomal RNA". The stretch from base 1 to 73 matches the Rfam family "Eukaryotic small subunit ribosomal RNA", at positions 1759 to 1831 of the family's 1831-position model. Lineage: Eukaryota; Fungi. The record is from RNAcentral.
GCAAACUUGGUCAUUUAGAGGAAGUAAAAGUCGUAACAAGGUUUCCGUAGGUGAACCUGCGGAAGGAUCAUUAACGAGUUAGGGUCCUCCGGGGCCCGACCUCCCACCCUUUGUUGUCGCGAAUUCGUUGCCUCGGCGGGACGGCCGCCCCGGGUGUCACAGCCCGGGCGGCCACCGGGCCCCUCUCUUCGGGGCCCCGGCCAGCGCCCGCCGCGGGACCACACAACUCUUGUCUUUGACCGUACAGUCCGAGCAAAUUUGAAUUAAUAAAUCAAAACUUUCAACAACGGAUCUCUUGGUUCUGGCAUCGAUGAAGAACGCAGC